RNAcentral lists this small RNA (118 nucleotides) under Arabidopsis thaliana (thale cress). Its description in RNAcentral is "ATSL249620". Lineage: Eukaryota; Viridiplantae; Streptophyta; Magnoliopsida; Brassicales; Brassicaceae. The record is from RNAcentral.
UCCGAGAUCUACCUUGAAAUGUGAGUGGAGCAGCAACAGUAGCUGCAACAGCGAGGACGAGAAGGAAUAGGGAAUCUAAAAGCUCAAGUUUUUAAUUUUCGUUUUCUUGAAUAAUGUC